CUGGGAGGACCAUCUCCUAAGGCUAAAUACUCUCUAGUGACCGAUAGUGAACCAGUACCGUGAGGGAAAGGUGAAAAGCACCCCGGAAGGGGAGUGAAAUAGAACCUGAAACCGUGUGCUUACAAGUAGUCAGAGCCCGUUAAUGGGUGAUGGCGUGCCUUUUGUAGAAUGAACCGGCGAGUUACGAUUUGAUGCAAGGUUAAGCAGUAAAUGUGGAGCCGUAGCGAAAGCGAGUCUGAAUAGGGCGUUUAGUAUUUGGUCGUAGACCCGAAACCAGGUGAUCUACCCUUGGUCAGGUUGAAGUUCAGGUAACACUGAAUGGAGGACCGAACCGACUUACGUUGAAAAGUGAGCGGAUGAACUGAGGGUAGCGGAGAAAUUCCAAUCGAACCUGGAGAUAGCUGGUUCUCUCCGAAAUAGCUUUAGGGCUAGCCUCAAGUGAUGAUUAUUGGAGGUAGAGCACUGUUUGGACGAGGGGCCCCUCUCGGGUUACCGAAUUCAGACAAACUCCGAAUGCCAAUUAAUUUAACUUGGGAGUCAGAACAUGGGUGAUAAGGUCCGUGUUCGAAAGGGAAACAGCCCAGACCACCAGCUAAGGUCCCAAAAUAUAUGUUAAGUGGAAAAGGAUGUGGCGUUGCCCAGACAACUAGGAUGUUGGCUUAGAAGCAGCCAUCAUUUAAAGAGUGCGUAAUAGCUCACUAGUCGAGUGACACUGCGCCGAAAAUGUACCGGGGCUAAACAUAUUACCGAAGCUGUGGAUUGUCCUUUGGACAA
Molecule: ribosomal RNA, 774 nt
Filed under: Staphylococcus aureus
Lineage: Bacteria; Bacillati; Bacillota; Bacilli; Caryophanales; Staphylococcaceae
Description: partial 23S ribosomal RNA
Rfam family: Bacterial large subunit ribosomal RNA
Source: RNAcentral